This is a small nucleolar RNA of Artibeus jamaicensis (Jamaican fruit-eating bat), 128 nucleotides long. RefSeq annotates it as small nucleolar RNA SNORA56. The transcript has a single exon. NCBI's taxonomy places the organism in Eukaryota, Metazoa, Chordata, Mammalia, Chiroptera, Phyllostomidae. The record is from RefSeq and is a predicted model, not a curated record.
UAACAGACAGUUAUCCCUUUCUAGUCUGGCUUGUGGGAUUCUAGAGGGAGUCAGUCUGCAAUAGUAAGAGGUAAGUUCUUCUGUCCAGCAUCAGCGUUUUGUGGUGGCUUUGCACUUGCCAGAUAUCA